AGAGUUUGAUCCUGGCUCAGGACGAACGCUGGCGGCGUGCCCAAUACAUGCAAGUCGAGCGAAUCUGAGGGAGCUUGCUCCCAAAGAUUAGCGGCGGACGGGUGAGUAACACGUGGGCAACCUGCCUGUAAGACUGGGAUAACUUCGGGAAACCGGAGCUAAUACCGGAUAAUCCUUUUCUACUCAUGUAGAAAAGCUGAAAGAUGGCUUCGGCUAUCACUUACAGAUGGGCCCGCGGCGCAUUAGCUAGUUGGUGAGGUAACGGCUUACCAAGGCGACGAUGCGUAGCCGACCUGAGAGGGUGAUCGGCCACACUGGGACUGAGACACGGCCCAGACUCCUACGGGAGGCAGCAGUAGGGAAUCUUCCGCAAUGGACGAAAGUCUGACGGAGCAACGCCGCGUGAGUGAUGAAGGUUUUCGGAUCGUAAAACUCUGUUGUUAGGGAAGAACAAGUACCGUUCGAAUAGGGCGGUACCUUGACGGUACCUAACCAGAAAGCCACGGCUAACUACGUGCCAGCAGCCGCGGUAAUACGUAGGUGGCAAGCGUUGUCCGGAAUUAUUGGGCGUAAAGCGCGCGCAGGUGGUUUCUUAAGUCUGAUGUGAAAGCCCCCGGCUCAACCGGGGAGGGUCAUUGGAAACUGGGAGACUUGAGUGCAGAAGAGGAAAGUGGAAUUCCAAGUGUAGCGGUGAAAUGCGUAGAGAUUUGGAGGAACACCAGUGGCGAAGGCGACUUUCUGGUCUGUAACUGACACUGAGGCGCGAAAGCGUGGGGAGCGAACAGGAUUAGAUACCCUGGUAGUCCACGCCGUAAACGAUGAGUGCUAAGUGUUAGAGGGUUUCCGCCCUUUAGUGCUGCAGCAAACGCAUUAAGCACUCCGCCUGGGGAGUACGGCCGCAAGGCUGAAACUCAAAGGAAUUGACGGGGGCCCGCACAAGCGGUGGAGCAUGUGGUUUAAUUCGAAGCAACGCGAAGAACCUUACCAGGUCUUGACAUCCUCUGACAAUCCUAGAGAUAGGACGUUCCCCUUCGGGGGACAGAGUGACAGGUGGUGCAUGGUUGUCGUCAGCUCGUGUCGUGAGAUGUUGGGUUAAGUCCCGCAACGAGCGCAACCCUUGAUCUUAGUUGCCAGCAUUCAGUUGGGCACUCUAAGGUGACUGCCGGUGACAAACCGGAGGAAGGUGGGGAUGACGUCAAAUCACCAUGCCCCUUAUGACCUGGGCUACACACGUGCUACAAUGGAUGGUACAAAGGGCUGCAAGACCGCGAGGUUUAGCCAAUCCCAUAAAACCAUUCUCAGUUCGGAUUGCAGGCUGCAACUCGCCUGCAUGAAGCCGGAAUCGCUAGUAAUCGCGGAUCAGCAUGCCGCGGUGAAUACGUUCCCGGGCCUUGUACACACCGCCCGUCACACCACGAGAGUUUGUAACACCCGAAGUCGGUGGGGUAACCGCAAGGAGCCAGCCGCCUAAGGUGGGACAGAUGAUUGGGGUGAAGUCGUAACAAGGUAACC
Molecule: ribosomal RNA, 1512 nt
Filed under: Cytobacillus solani
Lineage: Bacteria; Bacillati; Bacillota; Bacilli; Caryophanales; Bacillaceae
Description: 16S ribosomal RNA
Rfam family: Bacterial small subunit ribosomal RNA
Source: RNAcentral